RNAcentral lists this long non-coding RNA (3332 nucleotides) under Homo sapiens (human). RNAcentral's name for it is "HSALNT0141105". The record is from RNAcentral. Lineage: Eukaryota; Metazoa; Chordata; Mammalia; Primates; Hominidae.
CAGGGAGAUGCCAUGUAGAACAUAAAGAGGCAGAGAUCACGGAGAUGCAUCUACAAGCCAACGAACACCAAAGAUUGCAUCAAACCACCAGCAGCUAGGAGAGAGGCGUAGAACAGGUCCUCCCUCACUGCCCUCAGGAGGAACCAACCCUGCCAGCUACUUGGUCUCGGACUUCCAGCUGCCAGAACUGUGAGAUCAGAGAUCUCUGUUGGUUAAGCCACCCAGAUUGCCAUACUUUGUUAUGGCAGCCCUAGCAGGCUACUAGAGGCUUCAACCUGAAGUUAGCAAGACCGAGCAGAUGAGAGUGGAGAAUGGGUGUUGCUUGGGAAGUGCCCAGGGCUGGCUUGUUUGCAUGGAGACUUGAGGAACCAUUCACAAUUCCUGGGGAUUCACACAUAAAGAAAGAACAUCAGCAGAUCCCUGAGGAAGUUGCAAGACCCUAAUGAAGAAGCGGCUGUAUCAUAUCACCUGCCAGAUGGGGCUUAGGCAGCCUCCCAGAGCUUCCUACACCGAAGAAUCACACAGGAGCAGCAGAGCCAUCCCUGAGUGCCCAUGGGUAGCAUAGUAGCGGGAGAAGGAAACACAAGCUCUUGAAUUGCUCACUGAGCACAGGGUUGAGCAUGGGGUGCCCUGGCAGUUGCCUGCCUAACCAGAUGACAUGACAUCCCAUCCACUGUGCCUCGACACCAGGAAACCACAAACUCUGAAGCUCUGACUCCCCUUUCAGUGUCGCCCCAAGAGCCCACACUUUUGAAGGAAUAACCUCCCUGGUGAGAUGCACCAUGUCCCUGAGGGUGUGGUGGAGUUGUGACCCAGACCCUAAAGCCAAGGAAAAAUCUCUGAACAUACAACAUUCAACAAGGACAAGGACAGGGAAUGAAAGAAGUUCUGACGUUGGACAGACACAAUUCCAAAAGUGGCAUGGCUUGAUGGAUGAAGGCUCAACUUUGGGGCUGGAGAGACCUCGGUCCUAACUCUGUGCCAUCCAUGGUGGUGGAAAUCCCUGAGUCUCAGUUUCUUCAUGUGUAAAAUGGGAUAAUAAUACUUACCUAAAACAUUUGUCAUGGGAUAGUAAUACUUACCUAAAGCACUUUGUAUGGGGCCUGGUACACAGAACAUGCUCGAAAGUGAAGGCAGACAGAAACAUGAACAUUCCACGUAUGCUGAGUGACACAGAAACCCAAGCCCGAGGUUACUACCAAACACAGUUCCGCUUUGCCCUAAAUUGGCCAAAGCUCCCUCGAGGAAAGGCUAAAGCCUUAGCUUGCCUGCAAAAGCUGAGGAGGAGAAGCCAAGCAGAAGGGGCUCACUGUCUACGAAGACUUACAAACCCACGGUGGCAGGAAUGGAGCCUGGGUCCUUCUCUCCCAAGAAGACCUGAGCCCUGGGACUUGAGAAACACCAAGUGUAAGACAUCAUCAACCCCCAGGUGUUCUGAAGCCCCACUCCUUUUCUCUUUCUUGACCAUUGUGGCUGAAUGUGAAUCCCCACCUUUCCUGCCCUCCUGGGGACCUUAGGAAUUCUGCUCCUCACUGCAGGUGAGUCACAUCAGUAUCUAGAACACACAUUGCCAUUGCCUGCCCCAUCCUAGCACAGAGACUUCCCAGCCAUCCUUCAAUGCCAGCUCUCCGUGAACUUACCCCCAUCUCUUCACAGCAGAAUGGCUCAACAGGCAGGCCCACUCCAUGGUUAGGUCACCAACCAUGCUGGGUAACAGAAGAAGAGGCAGAGAAUGAACAUGGGAGAGAGAAAAGAAAUUUUUAGCCAGGUGCGGUGGCUCACGCUGUAACCCAGCACUUUGAGAGGCCAAGGCGGGUGGAUCACUUGAGGUCAGGAGUUCAAGACCAGCCUGACCAAUAUGGUAAAACCCUGUCUCUACCAAAAAUACAAAAAAUCGGCUAAGCGUGGUGGCAGGUGCCUGUAAUCCCAGCUAUUCAGGAGGAUGAGGCAGGAGAAUCGCUUGAACCCGGGAAGCGGAGGUUGCAGUGAGCCUAAAUCGUGCCACUGCACUCUAGCCUGGGUGACAGAGUGAGAUUCUGCCUAAAAAAAAAAAAAAAAGAAAAAGAAGAAAUUUUAAAAAUAAUUUGACAUUUGAUUAAUUGUUUAAAGCAUCAAAGUAUAAAAUAAAUAUCCAUGUAUCCAUACUGGUAUCAAUAAAUAAUUGAAUAAAUAAAUAAAUGUGGGAGAAAGGACAGCUUUUCCUUACAGAAGAAUUCAAAGCAAAUAAAUGUAUUAAUAAUUAAGAAAAUAGAAAAUCAUCAUUAGCCGUGUGCAGUGGCUCACACCUGUAAUCUCAACACUUUGGGAGGCUGAGGCGAGCAGACUGACUGACCUCAGGUGUUCGAGACCAGCCUGGACAACAUGGUGAAAACCCGUCUCUACUAAACUACAAAGAAUUAGCCGGGCAUGGCGGGGUGUGCCUGUAAUCCCAGCUACUUGGGAGGCUGAUACAGGAGAAUCACCUGAACAUGGGAGGCGGAGGUUGCAGUUAGCUGAGAUUGCAUCACUGCACUCCAGCCUGGGAGACAGAGCAAGACUCCAUCUCAAAAAAAAAAAAAAAAAAGUCAAGAUUGUGAGAGAUAAGGGAAGACUGAGUAACUGUCACAGGUUGGAGCUGAGUAAGGACAUAUGACAACAAAAUGCAGUGCAGAAUCCUGGAUUGGAUAUAGAAACAGGAAAAGAACAUUAGUGAAAAUAUUAGUUAAGCCUGAACAAAGUCAGUCAUCUAGUUAAUAGUAUUGUAUGUGUGUUAAUUCUGAAUUUUAAUCAUGUACUAUAGUUAUGCAACAUGUUAGCAUUAAGGAAAGCUACGUGAAGCAUUUAGGAAAACUCAAUAUUAUUUUUACAGCUUUUCUGUAUGUCUGAAAUUAUGUCAAAAUAAAAUAUAUUUUUCUUAAAAAAAUCAGGGGCCGUGCACAGUGGCUCACACCUGUAAUCACAGCACUUUGGGAGGUUGAGGCAGGAGGAUCAGUUAAGCUCAGGAGUUUGAGAGCAGCCUGGCCAACAUGGUGAAACCACAUCUCUACUAAAAAUACAAAAAUUAGCCAGGCAUGGUGGUGCAUGCCUGUAAUCCCAGCUACGCAGGAGGCUGAGGCAGGAGAAUUGCUUGAACCUGAAGGCGGAGGUUGCAGUCAGCCAAGAUUGCACCACUGCACUCCAGCCUGGACAACAGAGUAAGCUCAGUCUCUGGAAAAGAAAAAAAAAAGCAUUGGAGUAGUGGGACCAUCGUGGGUUUCCCUGCAUUAGUUGAAUGCUUGCAUCAGUUGAAUGGUUUGGUAUUGUUUCUAUUGCGAAUUCCAUAUUGGGGUUUGGGGGAGAUAGGAUGAGGCACC